Long non-coding RNA from Lagopus muta (rock ptarmigan), 337 nucleotides. RefSeq lists it as uncharacterized. The record is from RefSeq and is a predicted model, not a curated record. Lineage: Eukaryota; Metazoa; Chordata; Aves; Galliformes; Phasianidae. The transcript has 3 exons.
CGGCGGCGACGGCCCCACAGCGCCAGCGCUCUACGCCCCACUGCAGCCAUUCCCACCCCACGCCGCCGCCGCCGCCGCCCCAUUGGCUCCUCCCGCCCCCCCCAGCGGCAGCCAGGCUCCGCCCCACGGUGCCCCAAGCCCCGCCCAGCCCCCAGCGGGCUUCCACGUGGCCACGCCCCCGGGGGGAGGGGCCCAAUCGCCGCCGGGUUCCUUGGCUCCGCCCACCGGCGCUCCGCCCCCUCAAGCCCCGCCCCCUCCGGGUGCCGCGGCUCCGCCCACCGCCAUAUAUGGACUGCAGCAGCCCCUCCCCCACGGCUAUGGCGGCGUCCGCCACGUG